Molecule: ribosomal RNA, 292 nt
Filed under: uncultured bacterium
Lineage: Bacteria
Description: partial 16S ribosomal RNA
Source: RNAcentral
GGACUACACGGGUUUCUAAUCCCGUUCGCUCCCCAUGCUGUCGUGUCUCAGCGUCAGAAAUGUGCCAGGUGGCCGCCUUCGCCUCUGGUGUUCCUCCGGAUCUCUACGCAUUUCACCACUACACCCGGAAUUCCGCCACCCUCUCACAUCCUCCAGGUUCGCAGUCUCGCACAGCCUCCGCGCGUUGAGCGCACGGCUUUCAUGCACGACUUACAAACCCGCCUGCACACCCUUUAAGCCCAGUAAAUCCGGAUAACGCUCGCCUCCUACGUAUUACCGCGGCUGCUGGCAC